UAUGGCUCAGUGGUAGAGCACUUGCCUAGCAUGCAAAGAUCUGGAUUCAAUCCCCAGUA
RNAcentral lists this transfer RNA (59 nucleotides) under Cavia porcellus (domestic guinea pig). It matches the Rfam family "tRNA", at positions 6 to 65 of the family's 71-position model. From Rfam's summary of the family: Transfer RNA (tRNA) molecules are approximately 80 nucleotides in length. Their secondary structure includes four short double-helical elements and three loops (D, anti-codon, and T loops). Lineage: Eukaryota; Metazoa; Chordata; Mammalia; Rodentia; Caviidae. The record is from Rfam by way of RNAcentral.